Long non-coding RNA from Cyprinodon tularosa, 776 nucleotides. RefSeq lists it as uncharacterized. The record is from RefSeq and is a predicted model, not a curated record. NCBI's taxonomy places the organism in Eukaryota, Metazoa, Chordata, Actinopteri, Cyprinodontiformes, Cyprinodontidae. The transcript is spliced from 2 exons.
AGAACCAGGUUCUGGUUUAGAACCAGGCUCUAUUUUAGAAUUAGGCUCUGUUUUGGAACCAGGCUCUGUUUUAGAACCAGGUUCUGGUUUAGAACCAGGUUCUGGUUUAGAACCAGGUUCUGUUUUGGAACCAGGUUCUGUUUAGAACUUGGUUCUGUUUAGAACUAGGUUCUGUUUUAGAACCAUGUUCUGUUUUAGAACGAGGUUCUGGUUUAGAACCAGGUUCUGUUUAGAACCAGGUUCUGUUUUAAACCAGGCUCUGUUUUGGAACCAGGCUCUGUUUUAAAACCAGGUUCUGUUUAGAACCAGGUUCUGUUUUAGAAGCAGGUUCUGCCAUGUCCUUCAGUCGUCUUGCACCCCCUCCAUGUUUUCCCUCCAAAGUGGCGCAGCUGGAAUCCUCCAGAGGAAGCGGACCUGAACACACUCGCUCAUUCACUGUUUAACUGCAGGCAGCUCACACUGUUAAUCAUUUCUUAGCUGAUAUGGAGACGUGUUAGCAAGGCUGAACUCUUUCCUCAUGUAGCAAAGCCAUGCACUCACUCACUUCUCUCUUAGAUUAGCCUUGGAUUCAGAGGAACAGUUCAGGUCAUGUUUCUGAGGAGGAAACACUGAAUAGAUCAUGUUAAACACUACGCUGUCCUCCAGAGUAUUUAACUAUCUGAGAUGAUUGGAUGCUCUCAUUAGUGACUCUACCUCGUUCCUUUAAAUUCUGGACUUGACUGUUACACUGUUCACUAUGACUGAAUAAAACUGACGUCCUAAAUUCCCGUGUUUUG